GUGACCUGUGCGAAGCAACCGGGGAGCGUUGGAGAAACUCUACGGAAAGUACCCGCCACAUUCAACUAUCGACGCUCUCUGGAAAUUGAGAUUUUAAUCCGUGCGACUGUCAUUUUAUCAAAAGAUAGAGGACUUAAACAUUCAAUUCAUUAUAAUGCAUCGCCAGAUACCUCAGUGGUAAUAUGCGCUUGGCGAAAGUUUCCUUGAAAAUAUGCAAAAAUUUCAUGAGGUCUAUUUACAAAGACAACACCAAUGCUGAUGAUAUGAAGGCUUUUGGUAAAAUGAAAAUGAGACAAAUCUCACUCUGAUUGACAUCCUUAUUCAAUUAAAUUAACAGUAUGUCCUUUACAUCGAAGAGAAAAAUGAUGCUUAACAAAAGUUCUGUCUUCCCGGGCGUCGAUUUAACAUGAUUAUCUAAGAACAAGAAUUAUUUUAGUCGUUAAAAGAAAUUACUUUUUCGGUAGAGCACAAAAUCUAUACGGGAAAUGUUAUUCAUACAAAAGAAAGAAGUACAAUAUGUAAGUAAUUCAAGCUUUUAAGAUUAAGUAAAACCUUAUAAGUUGAGAUACAGAAAGCGACCGAAUUAACAUGCAAAAAGAACUUUGCCUGUUUUUUGUUGCGUAGCGAAAAGCAAGCAAGCAAAGGAAUGAUAUUUGUAUAAGACUAAAAAUAAAAUAAUAAUCGUUAGACAUCUGGUAAAUACCGCAGAAGGAAGGAGAAGAGAUAGUACAAGAAUUAAAGAAAUUUUAAACCGCCCCUGUCUUCCACUCAUCUCCGCAUCGACUUCGCCGUGCGAUACACCUGGCAUGCUGUGGUGUGGCACCGGCAACCCAAGAUGACCCCAGGAAUCCUGGUGACCCUUUUUUGCCUAGCCGCUGCUGUUCGGCCGGGCGUCGGAGAUGAGGCAGAGUACAGACUCACCCGAUACCUGAUGAGUAACUAUGACAAGUCGGUGAGACCUUCUUACAAGGCGGCUGACGCCCUCAACAUCACCUUCGGGCUCGCCCUCACCCAGAUCAUCGACGUGGACGAAAGGAACCAGAUUUUAACAACAAACUGCUGGCUUAAUCAGAUGUGGCUCGACUACAGCCUCCAGUGGAACGCCUCCGACUUCGGCAACAUCCAAGUGAUUCGUCUUCCAGCAGAGAAACUCUGGAAACCGGACAUCAUUCUCUAUAACAAUGCCGACAGCCAGUACAACACAGCCAUCCUGAGCACCAACAUCAUCGUGACGUCAGACGGCAACGUCACGUGGUUAUCGUCGGCGAUCUUCAAGUCGUCGUGUUCGAUCAAUGUCGAAUUCUUCCCGUUCGACGAGCAGAAGUGCGUCAUGAAGUUCGCGUCGUGGACCUACGACGGAUUUCAGGUGAAUCUCGUGAUCCAGACGGAGGAGGGAGACCUCAGCAACUACGUGACGAACGGGGAGUGGGACCUCAUCGACAUGAUAGUGGAGAGAAACGUCGUCUACUAUUCGUGUUGCGAGGCGCCCUACCCGGAUAUCACGUACCACAUAAUCUUAAGGAGACGACCUUUAUUUUACGUGUUCAAUCUGAUUUUGCCUUGCGUGCUCAUCACGGGCAUCGCUCUGAUGAGCUUCUACAUGCCCAGCGACUCUGGAGAGAAGGUGACGCUGGGCAUCACGACGCUGCUCUCCAUGACUGUCUUCCUCAUGGUCAUCGGGGAAUCGAUGCCCCCGACUUCGGAAAAGCUCCCGCUUAUAGGUCUCUAUUAUGGUGUCACAAUUUCCUUGGUCAGCUUCGCCACCGGGCUCUCAGUAGUGACGCUCAACAUCCAUCACCGGGGCAUGAGAGGGCGUGAAGUGCCCAGUUUCGUCAAGAAAAUUGUUUUUAGUUACAUGGCCAAAAUGAUGUGCAUUCGGCUUGACAUACCCGAUCCCAUGGGUGGGCACGGUCAUAAGUUUACCACCAAUAUCAAUCAUAUGGGGGAAGGAUACGGCAGCAUCCGUGAAUACGGCGCGGGCGGAAACGUGGAGAUGAGCGACCGGCUGCUGGACCCUGAGGUCAAAUGUGAAAAUGGGGGCAUCACCCCCUCAAGCAACCCCAGUGAAACGCCCAAACGAAAUCCGAGGACGAGAACAUCCAGUUCGGAUGUGUCAUCUUCAGUUCCACCGGCAUUCAAAAGUCAGGAGUCUCUUCGACGUCACAGCAUCCGAAGACUUGCUACCGGGGGUAGCAUCCACGGCACCGCCCACGCGGCUACUUGUCCGUCCGCCCACAUCGGGAUUGACACCUUCGAGCGCCAUUUCAUCCGGGUACUGAACAAGGUGUAUCAGACCAUAGAGAAAAAUGAGAUACGCCUGGCAGAGCAAGACAGGAGGGACACCAUUAAGCUGGAAUGGCAACAGGUCGCCUUAGUCGUCGAUAGGUUCCUGCUCUGGGUGUUCAUCGUUGCCACCAUCGCUUCGACUUUCGGAAUACUCUACAAGUCUCCUCACACUAAACUCUUCACAGUCUGACGCGCACCUCCUCCCCCUACUCCUCAUCACCCACCAACCCCCAAAAAACAACCCCCAACAAAUCACCAGAUUCGUUAUGCGUUCCCAUCCCGCCCGCAGUCUGUUUGCACCUUCUUGUUCAUAGGUUCCUGUUAUGGAUCUUCAUAAUCGCGACCAUCAGCACUACCUUCGGCAUCAUGUAUAUGUCGCCCCAUACGAAACUCUUCACCAUGUAAAUGGGCUCACCGGCAACUCGUCUUCACAUUCACUACUCUUCCUGCGUGCUUCCUACUCUUUGAUAUAGAUGUUGCCAACGAGAGGAUAUUUGUUGUGAUUUUGGGACACUGUUAAAGGACGCUAUUUUCAAUGAGUAAUCGGCGACCUUCAGUGGAUAUUUUCUUCCUUUUUAACAGUGGUGAUAAAUCGGAGUGCUCAUAAUGAAAAAUUAUUUGUCCCUUCUAGGUAGAGGAUAUGUUACAGACCUACUGUACUGCCAAUUUGAAAUGUCACCAGUGCUCAGGAUACAUUUUUCGAAUGACCUGAAAAUUCAUUUCUUUGACGUGAUAAUAUUAUGUAAAUCACUGGAACUGUCGCGCUGAAUCUUGACCGGCGUGAUGCUGCUGGUGACGAGUACCUUCAGUCUACCAACACCCACAGAAGCAUUAGAAAUAAUAUGAUCUUCUGGUGUGUUUUGUCGCAGUCUGCAAAUUAAUAUCUGACAAUGACCGCGUUGUUUUUUUUUUCUUGUCAAGAAGUAUAGUAUGUUCUUACGCUGUGCCCGGCUUCUCUGUGUGCAGUUGUUAAAUGUUAGUGAUCUUGGGUGUUAUGUUAUCUCAGUAUUAUCCUGACCGUAUGCAAAGCUUUUUUCUAAAACAAAAGUGUUUAACGAUACACGCAUUUAUUCAUAAAAUAAAAUGGUAAAUAUCGCCAGUAGUGAGACGAUCAUAAUUGUAAGUUGCUGUAAUAUUUUUUUUUUACUCUGUACCAUAUUGGUGACGAGUAUAUAUUACUUUGCUGUAUGAAGGAAAAUAACAAAUGCCGUUUUAGGGGAAAUAAAGUUAAUAAAUAGUUGAAAAUAAUGUCAUAAGAAUUUCUUGAUAUUAUUACUCAGGUAGACGAAAUUUUGAGUUAUCAAUAUUGCAAGGUGUAGCCAAGACGACGGUACUACUUAUGCGCUAAAAAUAAGCUAUGCAUUUUUUCACUUUAUUUUUAUUCAGAAAAGAGUAUUGAUAUUGUGAAUGUGUGUUUGAGAGCGCAUUACGAGGCGCUCGUUGUUGCCUGUUACUUUAUUACUGGAUCCUUCAAUGUUGCUUGUACGUAAAAGUACACUGUUCCUUCCAUAGGCUACAAAGGAAUGCGGCAGCGUUGGACCGCUUUUCCUUCAUUUUCUGGCUAAACUCGACCCUUUCUCUAGAUAUGGUCGAUAUAGUAGAUUCUUUAUCCGGGUCCUCUUUGCGCAUCGCCUACGAUGUGCAAUUCCAUUCACAAGUAGAAUUCAUUGUUUCACACCUCUUCUCCAUUUAUAAUUGUCUAUUAUUUCUGCAGGCAUCGUCAUUUUUAACUCUUUUCUAUAAAGACGUUGAGUUGAAAGUCUAAAGCCCAAGGGACACUUCUGUCUUCAAAUCGGAGCUGAAUGGAUAGAGGCGAAUGAUAACGCUUCGCUCCCAGUCAGUAAUAGCCAAAUGACCUCAACUUUGUCUCGGACGACUCCCAGCGUUUGUCUAUAAAUAAUGUGUGUAUGUGUAAGAGUAUAUGUAUGAAAUAUGUGCGUAAGCAAACUGCAUAUAAUCGAUUUUUCAUAACGUAAUUAGCUGGAAUCAAAAUCUAAAUAAGUCUGUCCUGAUUAAAAGAUUCCAGGCUUGCCGACUUUAUAUCCUUUUCACAAUCUCCUUUACAGCAAUAUUCUUAACAAACACAGCCAAACUUUCCAUACCAUGACAAAUAAUGACUUUAAAAACACACAAAACCUAUUGCAAAGAUGACGAUACAGUUAUACUACAGUCUUAGUAAUGAUGGAAAUUCUAAUAUAAAACAAACAUGCCUAAAAAUUCUGAUUGUCAUUAUCAGUAAACUAGGAACUCACUGGUAGAAAUUGUCCUUAAUUUGAAGUUAUCAUACAAGGGAACGACUUAUGACAAGUAAGGAACAUGUACAAAUAACAUAAUAUGCUGUCCACACGCCAUCGCCGCUUCUUAUGUAAAGAAUUACAAUGAAUAUAUGAAAUUUACAUAUGAGACGUCAUAGAUUUUUUUACGGAAACCUUCCCCUUCGAAUUGUGCACCAGUGGUCAGGCAUUUCUAGCUUACUGCUGAUUUUCCUGUUGCUUGAACAUCUACUUCUUAUACAAGGUAGUCCGAGACAAGUUGGCGGCAUUUUUGUCGCCAUUUACUUGUGCGUUGCGCCUCUAUUCAGUCCAGCUCUUAGUUUUUAUUCUCAGUAGAACAGACUCGAACUAGCACAACCAGCUUUAGUGUUUAGAACCAUGCCGUCAAGAUAUCCACUCGGUAUUAUUUUUACGUGUGAAAACCUCUGAGUAAAGAAAUAAUCCUUGCGCAUUUUUCCAUGGUUUUCUAACUUCAUUAUCCAUUUAUAAUUUCCUUCCUUCAUGAGUUGCAUACAAUAAGAGUAAAAUAAACAAACUUUAGGGGAUGCAAUUAUCUUGUAGGAUUCUGAAAAUUUCUCAUCGUGUACUGCAAGUCGUUGAAAAAGACGAGGUAUUUCAACUACGCAAAUCGAGAUCAGCCUUCCCCACCUUCACGCCAUCUUUGAAUUGAAGCACUGCCCCGUUAUGCCAUUCCCAUAAACUAAAAAGAAACGCAGCGGAGAAUUAUAACGCUUAUUUCAAUACAGUCAGCUACACGAAUGCUUCAUCAGCAUAGCUGCCAUCUUCCAAGGCGGGAAAUUCUUUCUCGCGGAGCAAAAUUGGAAAGCAUUCUUCUUCAUCAGUAUUCCCUCGCCACGCCUGGCCUAGUGAAAUAUUCUCGCGGUUAGCUCAGCCAGACUUUUUUUUUUUUUUUUUUUUUUGUAGUUUGCCUGUAUGAUAUACAUUUUAUCUAUUCGUACUUAAAUUUAAUUUCUUCUAUUGCUUUUUUAGUACAGUAUCCCGUCAAAAAAAUCUUUAAUUUAUUCUAAACAAGAUUUAUGGAAAUGGAGACGGAAGAAUAGAAAAGAAUAAGGGAUGGCAGCCAUGAACUUUACUCUAUAUAUCCACAUCCAUUUCAUUUUCGUCUCUGUUCAAUAGCUUUCCUCUGCGUUCCCGUUCAAUGUUUUAUUCCCUGAAAAUAAGAAAUAUAAAAAUGGAAAGACACGGAAAGAAAUUCACCUCGAAAAAGACUGCUGUGUGGAUUCCUUGGCUAAUUGAUCAUCUUCGCCUUGUGAAUUAAUCAUCAUAAUAUCAUUGAAACUCAACGUCAGUCAAAAGGAAGAUCAUAAAAUGAAGUUAACCGAAACGAAACGUCAAAUAAGGUAGUUCUUCUCUCUUUCACCUGCCCUCUAAUUCGCGACAGUUAUUCUAUUCAAUAUUCAAAAUCAGUUUGACUUCGGUCCAUAUCUCAUGAAUUCUCUCUUCGUCAGCAGACAUUUGUUCACAUUUGUGUCUGAUAAUUUUCGUGAAUCUUUUCUGAAUAUUCAUUUUUCCUUAUAAUUUUCAGUUCAUCGUCCAAAAUACAAAGUUUAUUUCCAGAUGAAUUCAGCAACAAGUGACCCAUUUCCAAUUUGUAAAACUUCUUUUCUUAUAUUUUCUGGAAGCAACUCAACAUUUCCAAUCCCUCUUCAACCCAUUUAGCCGUUGUACUUUAAGUUGACUAUUCCUCACACAGUUCUCCCGGAGGAGGAUAGUGCCAUCAGUCCACCUCAUGUGGUGGACUGAUGGCACUAUCCUCCUCCGGGAAAACUAUGUGAGGAGGGGGAGGAGGAGGAUAAACUCCGGGAAAACUAUGUGAGGAGGAGGAGGAGCAUAGUGCCAUCAGUCCACCUCAUGUGGUGCACUGUUUACAGUACUUACGCUUCUUUGAAGCAUCCUUUUGACCCUUAAUUGAAACCACUAUCAUUCAUUUUACUGUACCUCCGCUCGUAUUCUAUAUUCCAUCUUACUUUCCACCCUUUCCUAACAACUGAUUCAUAGGUUUUACUCCUGUUACACCCAUCAAAUAUUUUUACCGUCAAUUUCUGUUUCCGAGCUGAAUGACCUCAUAGGUCCCAGCAUUGGCCUUUGGCCUAAAUUCUAUAUUCUAUUCUAUUCUCUACUGUCACACAGUAUUGACUGUUUCCUGCUUUUCCGCCAGAUAUAACACCUCUGAAGACAAAUUUACAUUUAUGGAUGUUACUUACGGUAAGCCAGUGAUAUGGUUCUCUUAAAAAUUAAAAUUAGGUGGAACCAUAAACCGUUUUUGGUUGUAGAGUCAGGGGCAGUUCUAUCAAUGAGACUCACACUGUUAAUUGAAACUUCUCUUCUUUUUCUGCAAAAAUUAACCCGGUUUCCUUAAAAACUUGUAUGCCUUUCCUUUAUAACUUUGAUUCGUCAUCAUUUUAUUUCAUUUUCAAAAUAUCAUAAUAAUAUAAACAAGAUAGUCAUAAACACUACAGUGUACUGUAAAAGAAACAGCUUCCACAUCUACUGGCUUAUGGAAUAAACUAGGAUAUAGAAUUUAGGCCAAAGGCCAAGAAGCACUGGGAACAAUGAAAUUAUUCAGCGCUGCAACGGAGUUUAACAGGAGAAAAACCUCAAAGCAGUUGCACUAUGAAAUAAUCGUUAGGGGAGGGUGGGUAGCAAGACGGAAGAAAUAUAAUAUGAAUGGAGUCACAGUAUAAGGAAUGAAAGAGGUUGCAGCUAUGGGCAGAAGGGACACUGCAAAGAACCUGUAGUAAUGCCAACAGUGCAUCGAGUGAGGUGCACUGACGGCAUUAACCCCCUACACGGCAGGGACUGAAGGGGCGAUGCAUAGAACCUCAAGUAAUGCCUAAAGAGCACCGCAUGAGGUGCACUGAUGUCAAUACCCCCCUAUGGAAUCUACUCGCUUAUGUAUCAGUUUUGUUCACUGGUUCAUGGGUCGAUGAUUACCCAUCAGGUAUAAAUGCAUGCAGAUGAAUGUGAUGUGUGAAAACAACCAACACAACACGAUCGUUUAUCUGCAAAAAACUUUCAGUAGUAAGAAACCAAUGUGAUUUCUGGUAAGCAGACUAAUUAUGUUUAAUGAUACGACGACUAGGAUGACAUAGGAGGCUAGAUGUUCAUAAGUUUGGUUUUUGUUUAUAUGUUGUCAAUUUUCUGUUAUGAGUUUGUAAGGAAAGUUAUUAUAAUUCUUUCAAUGUGACAAUCAACAUUUUACUUCUUAAUUCACGACCCCACUCCCCCAACCUACCU
Macrobrachium nipponense is the source of this 7817-nucleotide RNA transcript. It is a transcript of the gene named neuronal acetylcholine receptor subunit alpha-10-like, with no coding region annotated. Lineage: Eukaryota; Metazoa; Arthropoda; Malacostraca; Decapoda; Palaemonidae. The transcript has 16 exons. The record is from RefSeq and is a predicted model, not a curated record.